This 507-nucleotide unclassified non-coding RNA is filed under the name Hevea brasiliensis (rubber tree). Lineage: Eukaryota; Viridiplantae; Streptophyta; Magnoliopsida; Malpighiales; Euphorbiaceae. The record is from RNAcentral.
AAAAAACAUAUGCAGCUAUAGUUGAACAGCUCUCGUAAUCACUAACUGCAGAUCCACUAAUAAUUGAAUUCGCAGACCAUCAUCUAAUUUAAUGUCAGUGAUCAAACUAAUAAUAGCAUAUUCCUUAAAAAAGUUCUACACGUACAUAACACUGCACACGAUUUCUUUAUACCUACAUGUCGCUUAGCAGGUUGAAUAUAUCAAAUUGCAAUCUGGAUAUGAAAAUUUCCUAAGGCAAGCAACCGUAAGUCAUUACACGUCACUAUUUUAUCCCUUGCAUUAUUGAUCAGCUAUAAAUGAAGAAUUUUCUCCUUUUAGCUAGCUUCAAUUUGAUGGAAGUCGAUGCCCUAUUCUGGCUGCAUAGCUUUCAGUUUCCACGAAAGAAUAGCUUAGAGGAUGUAGCUUUGAAACAGGUAGACCAACUUUACUAUGCAUUAUUAACAGAGUUGCUCUUGUUUACACCUUGGAGCUCCAUUGGAGAAUUUGUGAUGCUUCCAACUGAGCCAA